UUGGCAUCAAUUUGGUUUUCAGGUUGGUUCGGCCAUCCUUGGUCCAGUAUUUUAGUGACUGGAUGUGAAGAUUUGCCAUUUGACCUAGAGAAGACCUGUAAAUUUUAUUAAUGCAUGCAUCCAUAAUGCAUGGAAAAUUGGUCUAAUUAGAUAUUUCCUUCAUAAAAAGAAGAUUAUUGUGACAUCUCUUUUGUUCUUGCUAAUGUGGCUUUUGUAGUAUUUACAAACCAAGAAGGUGACCAUGUUAUUGAUGACAAUUAAGAAUUGGCUGGAAAUUGUCAAAGCCUUGUAACCAGAGCAACUGAUCGAUAUGCAGUAUCAAGAUUGAUGAUGUAUGACUGUGACUUAUGAUAUAUGGUGCCUCUGUGUAGCCAGAAGAAAUUGUAGAUGACUUGAUAGUUGAAACUAGUUAUUUUCUAUCCAUUUGGGGAUGUGUAAUCAAUACCGAAAGGGCUAAAGGUCCAGUUAUGGUAGAAUACAGAUUCAUUAGCAUAUUUGUUGUCUAAUUUGGCCCGUUACUGUGAUGUGUGCAUUGUUAAACACAUCAACAUCGUGCGCUUCUUAGACAGAUUUCUGGUUCCUGCUUUAUUGGCAUUAUGUGUUAAACAUGUAUUUGAAGGCCAAGAAACCAAAAGAUUUUUCUCUAUUAGGAAAUUAAUUUUUCUCAGCAGCCGAUGAACGCAAUAGCAAGCUGAGUUCGAUUAUGAGGAUUUGCAUUUUAGCAAUCCACCUUAUUGAUAUUUUCUCCACUUUUGUCACAAGUUAAUUUUGCACAAGCUUCUGUUAUUCAUGAUUUGCGGUGUGGUCAGUGGAGCAACUUGUUUUUGGAAAUUUGUUGUCAUUCUUAAUAGCCAGCAUAUGAUAUCUUUCUCAGACCUUUUAUUACUUGUCUGAAGAACAUACGUUUGAUGCUUUGAAAUGGCAUUUUGCUGUUGAAUUAAGGAGGUAAUAUUGACUUUCUGAGACGCUUGUGUCCCACUUUUGUCAGUUUUAAAAUUCAUAUAAUUGUUAUGGAGAAACAGUAAGCAAUUGUAUCUUUUGGGAAGUUAUAAACAAAUCUUUUUUUGUCAUUGAGCCAGUAAAACAAACUGGUCAAUCAUCACUCAUUUUCAGCUAUGAACUUCUAUCUGGUAUUUGUUUCAUUGUAUAAUCAUGUGGAGGUACAUUUAGUCUGGAAUUUUACCAUAGAGAAACCUUGUUGUGAACCAGUGUUGCUUAUGGAAUAUUUAUACGAGUAGAAUGUGUGCAAGAGUAUUUAUCGAAUAAGGAAGGCUUUGUGACAUGGUUUACAUUGAAGGGGCUUGAAAUCCUGUGACAGUAAGUGUCUGUAUCUUGUGGUAACUGAGAAGCAAAUCUUUAUUGGCUAUUGAGCCAGUAAAACAAACUGGUCGGUCGUUGCUCUUUUUCAGCUAUGAACUUCUAUCUGGUAGAUAUAUUGCAUUGUAUAAUCAUGUGGAGACAUUUAAUGUUGAAGUUUACUAUAGACCGACUUUGUUGUGAACAAGUGUUGCUUAUGGAAAUUUUGUAUGGAAUAUUCAUAUGAGUAGAACCCGUGCAAUAUCAAAUAAGGAAGGCUUGUGAUGGUUUACGUGGAAGGUUUAUGAAAUUCUAUCCAUCAGGGCAGUUCCUGUAUGCUUAUUCGCAAUGGUAAAUUCGUUUCAUGGAGUUGUUUGGGUAAAAACACAGCUUUUGUCUCCAUGCGACUUCUAUAACUAGCUGAAGUAAGAUGUUUCCUCUCAUGUUUUGAAUAUUAUCUAUAGUCUUCUUGGAAUAAAAAUCUUUUUUUCGCUAGCUAGAUUUAGUUUUUGAAUCUUCUAUGCUGAUACCCGAGUGGCAUUUAUUUGCAUUUUUCUUUUAUAAUUAAGGUAGUUCCUUUAUCAGAUUAAUUUAAGGUUAUGAUUGGAGCUUCCUUCUUUGCAUCCCUUUCUAUCUUCUCUUGGUAAGGCAAACUUGGUGUUCUGUUGAUUUUACCUUUUUGGUGGCAAUGCAAUUACAUGAUCAAGAAACCUUCUCCCCUCUAAUUGAUUCAGUCUUAUUUUUAUCAAUUUGUUUUGUUCAAGAUUAAUGAUGUCCGCUGUAACAAGUUUGUUUAAUUGGAAAUUCAUGCACACGCAAACCUAGAUAAGAUCAGGUCAUUGCAUCAAGCAUGAAGCCGGAUAAGGUUGGAUCAAUGGUUCCUGUUAAGCAGACACUGAAUGCAUUAGAUGCUGGUGUUUUUCUUUUUCCCCUUUUCUUUUGGUGCUGUACUAGGUGAUUUCUUUAAGGCAGCAUUGUUUGGUCAGAUAGAUUUAUGGUCAUGGUUAAAGGCUUUCUACUCAUUUGUUUCUGUGCUUUGAUGGUAGUCAAAAUUGGGGUUUGGCGAUUCUUCAUGUUCCAUCUAUGAUACAAUGAGAAGAUUGAAAGAGCGUAUCCCAUCCAACUUGUUCAGACAUUUUUGUUGUUAAUGGUUCUUGUUCGUUGCUGAAAAUGCCAUGACUUUUGCUGCAUCAAGUUUCUUUUGAUGUUGGCAGGAAUGGUUGAUGAAUGAGGAUACAUAAAGUUGACUGCAAAAGGUUGAGAUAAGGCUUCAUGAUUAUGGUUGUGCUUUGUAGUUAAUCAAUUCAAAAUGUGGAAUAUGUUCAAGAUAUGCCGAAUUGGCAUUAUGGCUAAUUCUAAGUUUGUAUGUGCGGUACAUGAGUAAGGUUUCUAUAUAAAUGAUAACAAGUUUUUCAUGCUGUGUAUAAAUUAAUUGCAGUUCUCAUUUCA
Molecule: non-coding RNA, 2745 nt
Organism: Elaeis guineensis (African oil palm)
Lineage: Eukaryota; Viridiplantae; Streptophyta; Magnoliopsida; Arecales; Arecaceae
Source: RefSeq, a predicted model, not a curated record